UAGGGAAUCUUCGGCAAUGGACGGAAGUCUGACCGAGCAACGCCGCGUGAGUGAAGAAGGUUUUCGGAUCGUAAAGCUCUGUUGUUAGAGAAGAACGUUGGUAGGAGUGGAAAAUCUACCAAGUGACGGUAACUAACCAGAAAGGGACGGCUAACUACGUGCCAGCAGCCGCGGUAAUACGUAGGUCCCGAGCGUUGUCCGGAUUUAUUGGGCGUAAAGCGAGCGCAGGCGGUUCUUUAAGUCUGAAGUUAAAGGCAGUGGCUUAACCAUUGAACGCGUUGGAAACUGGAGGACUAGAGUGCAGAAGGGGAGAGUGGAAUUCCAUGUGUAGCGGUGAAAUGCGUAGAUAUAUGGAGGAACACCGGUGGCGAAAGCGGCUCUCUGGUAUGUAACUGACGCUGAGGGUCGAAAGCGUGGGGAGCAAACAGG
RNAcentral lists this ribosomal RNA (429 nucleotides) under Bacillota bacterium. RNAcentral's name for it is "Firmicutes bacterium partial 16S ribosomal RNA". It matches the Rfam family "Bacterial small subunit ribosomal RNA", at positions 355 to 776 of the family's 1533-position model. The record is from RNAcentral. Lineage: Bacteria; Bacillati; Bacillota.